Molecule: long non-coding RNA, 1069 nt
Organism: Topomyia yanbarensis
Lineage: Eukaryota; Metazoa; Arthropoda; Insecta; Diptera; Culicidae
Exons: 2
Source: RefSeq, a predicted model, not a curated record
UCUUACCCAGCUUCCCCUUACCAUUACACCAUUUGGAUGAAUUUUGCGUGGGGAAUAUAAAAUAUGCACAAUAUAGUAAAAGAAAGGUGGAAACAUUAUUCAUUUUGAAUGUAUCAGUUUCUUGCUUGAGAAAAUAAACAUGGUGGCCGGGUUAGCUGAACGUAGAUCUCGACGUAGAUAUUGACAUCACUACGUAGCAUGACACUACGUAUUUUUAUUUCAUCUUCCAUCUCUUUCUGCUGAUUCGAAAAAAUGACAACCACGCUCACGCAUUAAGAAAUGUUACCACCUCCACUAUACCGUAUAUUAGAUGAACAAUUCAUUCACAUCCUGUCAAAACACAUUGUUUUGACAUGAGUGAAUUCUGCUCAGUCUUCUUGGAAGAUAAUUAAAACAAAAUGUCGCUAGUCUUAUUUUCGGGUUCAGAUCGUCGGAAUUGGAUGUUUUCCUUACUGUCCGCGUGUAACAAGCGGUAUGCAGUGCAGUGCAAAAAAUAAGUCGAUUGUAAAACAUUACAUCGUACUGUUUGCCGUUAGUGUAAUACGAUCUGCCAUUGGUUUAUUUUUUUCAACUUUUCGACAACCCACGGGAUUAAGAUUAUACGUAUAUUACUUAGAGUGCUGCCUAUCAAAUCACGGUGCGAAUUAAAAUACCACGUCGCAUUUACCAUUGUGUACAACGACCAGAGCGUAGCAAAUUUAAGUGAUUUUUACGGGUACAUACGAUUUAACUCAGCCGAAAGUAAUGAGUAAUGUCUACAAGAACAACGACCGAUAAUGUUAUCACCGCCAAUGCCAAUUGUGAUUGCGCUUACAGUGAAAUGAAAAAUUAAAAGUACCGUAUAUCACGAAAUCUAGGCUAGGGAAGAUGAACGACUAGUAACGAAAUGGUUAGCAGCAUCGACAUCAACAACCAGAUUUCAACCCAGCGCUUGACUGGAAUCAAGAAAACAGAUGGAGUUUGCAGAUGGACCCGAAAAAAAAUUUGUUGACCUAAUUUUACAAUCAAACUUUAUUAUCACCAAAAUAAGAAAACUAUCGUUGCAUAUAAAUAUAUAAAUGACCUGAAA